GACGAACGCUGGCGGCGUGCUUAACACAUGCAAGUUGAACGGAAAGGCCCUGCUUUUGUGGGGUGCUCGAGUGGCGAACGGGUGAGUAACACGUGAGUAACCUGCCCUUGACUUUGGGAUAACUUCAGGAAACUGGGGCUAAUACCGGAUAGGAGCUCCUGCUGCAUGGUGGGGGUUGGAAAGUUUCGGCGGUUGGGGAUGGACUCGCGGCUUAUCAGCUUGUUGGUGGGGUAGUGGCUUACCAAGGCUUUGACGGGUAGCCGGUCUGAGAGGGUGACCGGCCACAUUGGGACUGAGAUACGGCCCAGACUCCUACGGGAGGCAGCAGUGGGGAAUAUUGCACAAUGGGCGGAAGCCUGAUGCAGCAACGCCGCGUGCGGGAUGACGGCCUUCGGGUUGUAAACCGCUUUCGCCUGUGACGAAGCGUGAGUGACGGUAAUGGGUAAAGAAGCACCGGCUAACUACGUG
RNAcentral lists this ribosomal RNA (468 nucleotides) under uncultured bacterium. RNAcentral describes it as "partial 16S ribosomal RNA". It matches the Rfam family "Bacterial small subunit ribosomal RNA", at positions 28 to 507 of the family's 1533-position model. The record is from RNAcentral.